RNAcentral lists this ribosomal RNA (490 nucleotides) under uncultured bacterium. Its description in RNAcentral is "partial 16S ribosomal RNA". It matches the Rfam family "Bacterial small subunit ribosomal RNA", at positions 30 to 507 of the family's 1533-position model. The record is from RNAcentral.
AUUGAACGCUGGCGGCAGGCCUAACACAUGCAAGUCGAACGGUAACAGGAAGAAGCUUGCUUCUUUGCUGACGAGUGGCGGACGGGUGAGUAAUGUCUGGGAAACUGCCUGAUGGAGGGGGAUAACUACUGGAAACGGUAGCUAAUACCGCAUAACGUCGCAAGACCAAAGAGGGGGACCUUCGGGCCUCUUGCCAUCGGAUGUGCCCAGAUGGGAUUAGCUAGUAGGUGGGGUAACGGCUCACCUAGGCGACGAUCCCUAGCUGGUCUGAUAGGAUGACCAGCCACACUGGAACUGAGACACGGUCCAGACUCCUACGGGAGGCAGCAGUGGGGAAUAUUGCACAAUGGGCGCAAGCCUGAUGCAGCCAUGCCGCGUGUAUGAAGAAGGCCUUCGGGUUGUAAAGUACUUUCAGCGGGGAGGAAGGGAGUAAAGUUAAUACCUUUGCUCAUUGACGUUACCCGCAGAAGAAGCACCGGCUAACUCCAUG